CCUACGGGUUGCAGCAGUGGGGAAUAUUGGACAAUGGGGGGAACCCUGAUCCAGCCAUGCCGCGUGUGUGAAGAAGGCCUUAUGGUUGUAAAGCACUUUAAGCGAGGAGGAGGCUACUAGUAUUAAUACUACUGGAUAGUGGACGUUACUCGCAGAAUAAGCACCGGCUAACUCUGUGCCAGCAGCCGCGGUAAUACAGAGGGUGCGAGCGUUAAUCGGAUUUACUGGGCGUAAAGCGUGCGUAGGCGGCCAUUUAAGUCAAAUGUGAAAUCCCCGAGCUUAACUUGGGAAUUGCAUUCGAUACUGGAUGGCUAGAGUAUGGGAGAGGAUGGUAGAAUUCCAGGUGUAGCGGUGAAAUGCGUAGAGAUCUGGAGGAAUACCGAUGGCGAAGGCAGCCAUCUGGCCUAAUACUGACGCUGAGGUACGAAAGCAUGGGGAGCAAACAGGAUUAGAUACCCGUGUAGUC
Molecule: ribosomal RNA, 466 nt
Filed under: uncultured bacterium
Lineage: Bacteria
Description: bacterial SSU rRNA
Rfam family: Bacterial small subunit ribosomal RNA
Source: RNAcentral